RNAcentral lists this transfer RNA (125 nucleotides) under Pyrenophora seminiperda CCB06. RNAcentral's name for it is "tRNA-Arg (ACG) (tRNA-Arg-ACG-1-1)". It matches the Rfam family "tRNA". From Rfam's summary of the family: Transfer RNA (tRNA) molecules are approximately 80 nucleotides in length. Their secondary structure includes four short double-helical elements and three loops (D, anti-codon, and T loops). The record is from RNAcentral. Lineage: Eukaryota; Fungi; Ascomycota; Dothideomycetes; Pleosporales; Pleosporaceae.
GGCCUAAUGGCUCAAUGGUAGAGCGCUUGACUACGAAUCAAGAGGUUCCAGGUUGUAAGUACUAGCUUCAGAACCAAGCUAGAGUUCGAAUACUAACAGUAAUUCAGCGAGCCCUGGUUAGGUCA